CCUCUUAUGUUAACCUUUUUUAAGGGUAGCCACAUACUAGCCAUCAAGAAAACAGGAAAAUACAAGGGGAAUCAGGCAGCCAUUAGUUGCCAAAAUUUAAGUCGGUGGAUAUAGGCCAGAACACUAUCGAGGAAGACUAUACAAGUUCACGAUCAAAGUGUAACUACUAAGUGGAGAUUCACUAGAACAGCAGCAAAUUAUGCCAAACUUUGUUCAUAUACCAACAAUGUUCACCGAAUGUAAAACAAAAGUCGACCUUGAUUUAAGCAUAUAAAAGGAGGCCUAGAUUCGCCUUUUUCAAGCAGAAAAGUAGACAUGACAACCAUCGCUGCAAUAAAAGAGCUCAAAAUCAGAAGAUCACGAGUCACCCACAAAAAGUUUGCCAUACAGCCACUCACACACAAAAAAGAAAGCAUAUAUAUUGGUGUAAGGGCAAUUGCAAACAUAAGAAAUGUAAUUAGUAAUCACUGGCUCCCCUCCUUAUCAGAGACGAUGGAGUCAAACUACCCUGAAACCAACCGCCUCUCACUCAGCGCAAAGCCUCGUAUUUAAAACCAUUCAUACAGCAAUCUUAAGGAAAAAAAAUUUCAUGCAAAAGCAAUCGCGAAUUUCUCAUUUAGAAAAAAGUUCGAAAUCAAGUGGGAGCAUGAAAAGGAACUAAAAUACCUGUUAUGUUAACCUUUUUGAUGGCUAGCCACAUACUAGCCAUCAAGAAAACAGGAAAAAUACAAGGGGAAGCAAGCAGCCACUAGUUGUCAAAAUAUAAGUUGUUGGACAUAGGCCAGAACACUGUCGAGGAAGAGUAAAGUUCACGAUCAAAGUGUAACUACUAAGUGGGGAUUCACUAGAACAGCAGCAAAUUAUGCAAAACUUUGUUCACAUACCAACAAUAUUCCCCGAAUGUAAAACUAAAGUCGACCUUGAUUUAAUCAUAUAAAAAGAGCCCCAGAUUCGCCUUUUUCAAGCAGAAAAGUGAACAGGACAACCAUGGCUGCAAUAGGAGCUCAAAACCAGAAGCUCACGAGUCACCCACACAAAGCUCACGAGUUAACCACACAAAGUUCGCCAGACAGCUACUCACACACACAAGAAAGAAAGCAGAUAUAUUGGUAUAAGGGCAGUUGCAAACAUAAGGAACGUAAUACCUAUCAGAAAGGACAGAGUCAACCAUCCUGAAACCAACCACCUCUCACUAAGAGCAAAGCCUCUUACUUAAACCAUUCACACAACAAUCUUAAGGUAAACAAAUUUCAUGCAAAAGCAAUUGCGAAUUUCUUUUUUAGAAAAAUGUUCAAAAUCAAG
This 1302-nucleotide long non-coding RNA is filed under the name Jatropha curcas. RNAcentral's name for it is "long non-coding RNA (JCUR_LNC000853)". Lineage: Eukaryota; Viridiplantae; Streptophyta; Magnoliopsida; Malpighiales; Euphorbiaceae. The record is from RNAcentral.